This 40-nucleotide ribosomal RNA is filed under the name Begonia formosana. RNAcentral describes it as "partial 18S ribosomal RNA". The record is from RNAcentral. Lineage: Eukaryota; Viridiplantae; Streptophyta; Magnoliopsida; Cucurbitales; Begoniaceae.
AACAAGGUUUCCGUAGGUGAAACUGCAGAAGGAUCAUUGU